AUUGAACGCUGGCGGCAGGCUUAACACAUGCAAGUCGAGCGGUAGCACAGGGGAGCUUGCUCCCUGGGUGACGAGCGGCGGACGGGUGAGUAAUGUCUGGGAAACUGCCUGAUGGAGGGGGAUAACUACUGGAAACGGUAGCUAAUACCGCAUAACGUCGCAAGACCAAAGAGGGGGACCUUCGGGCCUCUUGCCAUCAGAUGUGCCCAGAUGGGAUUAGCUAGUAGGUGGGGUAACGGCUCACCUAGGCGACGAUCCCUAGCUGGUCUGAGAGGAUGACCAGCCACACUGGAACUGAGACACGGUCCAGACUCCUACGGGAGGCAGCAGUGGGGAAUAUUGCACAAUGGGCGCAAGCCUGAUGCAGCCAUGCCGCGUGUGUGAAGAAGGCCUUCGGGUUGUAAAGCACUUUCAGCGAGGAGGAAGGUGGUGAGCUUAAUGCGUUCAUCAAUUGACGUUACUCGCAGAAGAAGCACCGGCUAACUCCGUG
This 490-nucleotide ribosomal RNA is filed under the name uncultured bacterium. RNAcentral describes it as "partial 16S ribosomal RNA". It matches the Rfam family "Bacterial small subunit ribosomal RNA", at positions 30 to 507 of the family's 1533-position model. The record is from RNAcentral.